GGCCCGCACAAGCGGUGGAGCAUGUGGUUUAAUUCGAAGCAACGCGAAGAACCUUACCAGGUCUUGACAUCCCAGUGACCGCUCUAGAGAUAGAGUUUUUCUUCGGAACACUGGUGACAGGUGGUGCAUGGUUGUCGUCAGCUCGUGUCGUGAGAUGUUGGGUUAAGUCCCGCAACGAGCGCAACCCUUAUUGUUAGUUGCCAUCAUUCAGUUGGGCACUCUAGCGAGACUGCCGGUAAUAAACCGGAGGAAGGUGGGGAUGGCGUCAAAUCAUCAUGCCCCUUAUGACCUGGGCUACACACGUGCUACAAUGGUUGGUACAACGAGUCGCAAGUCGGUGACGGCAAGCAAAUCUCUUAAAGCCAAUCUCAGUUCGGAUUGUAGGCUGCAACUCGCCUACAUGAAGUCGGAAUCGCUAGUAAUCGCGGAUCAGCACGCCGCGGUGAAUACGUUCCCGGGC
RNAcentral lists this ribosomal RNA (460 nucleotides) under uncultured bacterium. RNAcentral's name for it is "bacterial SSU rRNA". It matches the Rfam family "Bacterial small subunit ribosomal RNA", at positions 918 to 1379 of the family's 1533-position model. The record is from RNAcentral.